AAAGAAAGCUGGCGGCAUGCCUAACGCAUGCAAGUCGAACGAGACCUUCGGGUCUAGUGGCGCACGGGUGCGUAACGCGUGGGAACCUGCCCUUAGGUUCGGAAUAACUCCCCGAAAGGGGUGCUAAUACCGGAUAAUGUCUUCGGACCAAAGAUUUAUCGCCUUUGGAUGGGCCCGCGUUGGAUUAGCUAGUUGGUAGGGUAAAAGCCUACCAAGGCGACGAUCCAUAGCUGGUCUGAGAGGAUGAUCAGCCACACUGGGACUGAGACACGGCCCAGACUCCUACGGGAGGCAGCAGUGGGGAAUAUUGGACAAUGGGCGAAAGCCUGAUCCAGCAAUGCCGCGUGAGUGAUGAAGGCCUUAGGGUUGUAAAGCUCUUUUACCCGGGAUGAUAAUGACAGUACCGGGAGAAUAAGCUCCGGCUAACUCCGUG
RNAcentral lists this ribosomal RNA (433 nucleotides) under uncultured bacterium. RNAcentral describes it as "partial 16S ribosomal RNA". It matches the Rfam family "Bacterial small subunit ribosomal RNA", at positions 31 to 507 of the family's 1533-position model. The record is from RNAcentral.